CGGGGAGUGGCGCAGUUUGGUAGCGCACCGGUAUGGGGUGCCGGUGGUCGCAGGUUCGAAUCCUGUCUCCCCGA
RNAcentral lists this transfer RNA (74 nucleotides) under Pseudomonadota bacterium. Its description in RNAcentral is "tRNA-Pro". It matches the Rfam family "tRNA". From Rfam's summary of the family: Transfer RNA (tRNA) molecules are approximately 80 nucleotides in length. Their secondary structure includes four short double-helical elements and three loops (D, anti-codon, and T loops). RNAcentral also lists the same sequence under 1 other name. The record is from RNAcentral. Lineage: Bacteria; Pseudomonadati; Pseudomonadota.